This 253-nucleotide ribosomal RNA is filed under the name uncultured bacterium. Its description in RNAcentral is "partial 16S ribosomal RNA". It matches the Rfam family "Bacterial small subunit ribosomal RNA", at positions 524 to 776 of the family's 1533-position model. The record is from RNAcentral.
UACAGAGGUCUCGAGCGUUAGGCGGAAUCACUGGGCUUAAAGCGUGUGUAGGUGGAUGCCUAAGUACCUUGUGAAAGUCGGGGGCUCAACCCUCGGAUGCCGAUCGAUACUGUCGGGCUAGAGUCCGGAAGAGGCGAGUGGAAUUCCUGGUGUAGCGGUGAAAUGCGCAGAUAUCAGGAGGAACACCAAUGGCGAAGGCAGCUCGCUGGGACGGUACUGACGCUGAGGCGCGAAAGCGUGGGGAGCAAACAGG